UUGAUUGUUUUACUUCGGCAUUAUGUUUUGUGGGUAUCUCUUUACUUCGUGGUCCUGGCGAUUCUUGGUGUCUCUGCUGUCAAAGACUGCUUAGUAUACUAGUACUGUGGUUUCUCAAUCUAAUUCUUAUGCUUCAUGAGGUCUUUAUAGCUGCUUCCAACCCCUAUGUGCUGUUAGAGGUGCUAGAGCUGCUAUCAUUCAGCCCCCAUCUUGUUUCAUCACUUGGAUUUAAAAAGUUUUAUAUAUCAUUAUUUUCUGGAAGUGCUAAUUUGGAUGCCUUUUGAUAUUUGAUUCAAGAAGAAUGUGAUUCAGAUCCCGUGGGAGCUUGUUUAUUGGAUAUGGAUAUGGAUAUGUUUAUGGAUCUUCGAUGUUUUGUUUCCUGUGCUGUGAUGAUACUUCCAUUUGCAACAUUUUUUCACAUGAUUUAAUCUCAGUGUCUCAUGUGCCAUAUGGUCUGGUCUGCUGCUGCAACCCAUUUUUCCUCUCAGUGCUAUGUUUUUCGGUUCAUUGAAGGUUCUGUGUUCUGUGAUGGUUGGAUGCCAUAAAGUUCUCUGUGCAGAUUGCAUUUGUUCUUUUCAGCUUCAUGUCUUCUGCAAGCUUAUACAGAUUUGCUGAUGAUUCAUGCUCCAGUUUGUUUUUAGCUGUCUUGGUCUUCGGAUCACUCGUGCAUGCUGGCCAUCUCUGUUGACUGUUGCUUCAGCUUAUCUUUCUUUAUUUAUUUGUUUAGAUUUACUUUUUAAUCUUGUUCAAUUUUUUCCUGCCAUGAAUUCUAUACCUCUACUUAACAAUGAAGUAAAGGAGUAGCUCGUUAUACA
Molecule: long non-coding RNA, 815 nt
Organism: Populus euphratica (Euphrates poplar)
Lineage: Eukaryota; Viridiplantae; Streptophyta; Magnoliopsida; Malpighiales; Salicaceae
Exons: 2
Source: RefSeq, a predicted model, not a curated record